GGGAUUGAAAGUGGAGCCGGUUGAAAAUGUUACGUCCAAAUUGUUUGUCCAAUGCUCACGUCAAAAAGACCUGAUAAAGAUCUACAGGCACCUACUAAAUUACUCAAGUACGGUGUGCUUUCAUCUUUCAUUACUGCUAUCUAUGUUAAGAAUUUUAUUUCAUGUUUGUAUUAUGUAUGUAUUCAAGACUAAUUAAUACCAAGUCUACUCGUUGCAGAAAAUGUAUUUAAUCUUUGCAGCUUCCCCAAUCUAGCUGGGACGAAGUAUAGACAAUUAAGACUGGGGUUCCAGGAGGUAGGAUUGACUCUUGGGAGAAUGUUUUUUCGUUCUUCGGAUCAGUACCUUUUGAUCGUUGUUACUAAUUUCAUUCUCUACAUGUAUUCCUUUCAGGUUGUGGUCUGUGGCCUUUUACGAGAUGGGAAAGUAAAUUUCCACCCAAAUGAUAACGAAGAGCUCAUGGAAACCGACAAACUAUUGUUUAUCGCACCUCUGAAUUGGAAAAAGAAGCAACUAUUAUAUGCAGACAUGAAACUUGAGAACAUUACAGUUGCGACUGAUACUCGGAAGCAAGUGUUUGAGAAAAAAAGAUCACGGCUAGCAAAAAUUAUAAUGCGUCCUCGUAAGUCCUUAUCAAAGGUCUGACUCCCAACUGGCCCCUGUAAUGCUUGAUUUAUACUGGCUUUCGAAAAUUUUGAGACCUCUGAUUUUCAUUUCUAUGGUUUACACAGGGAUCAGAUUCCAUCAAAGGACCCACAGAAUCUAUACUUUUACUUGGUUGGCGUGGAGACGUUGUGCAAAUGAUCGAGGAGUUUGAUAACUAUCUUGGUCCAGGCAGUUCAAUGGUAUGAUCAUAUACCAUUCAUUAUCUCUCUCCGGCUGGCUCUCACAUAAUGAGUUACUUAUAAGUUUCUGUUCACAGGAAAUAUUAUCGGAUGUACCGUUAGAGGACAGAAGAAGAGUGGGAGAUAGUAUGGGUUCAGUGAAAAUUAAGAACAUCCAAGUUUCACAUAAGGUAAAUUUCAUAUCCGGAGGCUAAAAGCAUCUGCAACAAGCUUGGAGUAAAGGUAAUCUUUAAACUUUUCAUCGUUGGGAAUCCUCUGAACUAUGAUACAUUAAAGCAAACUAUAAUCCGUAUGAAAAGUAAAUAUAGAAAAAGCAAAAAUAUUCCUUUGACCAUCCUUGUCAUAUCGGAUCGAGACUGGCUUCUUGGAGGUAAGCAUUCGCGACUAGUUCUUCUUAGUUCCGUCUUUUGCAAUAAUGGUAACACUUACAAAUAUUUGAUGUCUUUUAGAUCCAUCUAGAGCAGACAAACAAUCCGCUUACUCUCUUCUACUUGCUGAAAGCAUCUGCAACAAGCUUGGAGUAAAGGUAAUCUUUGAACUUUUCAUCGAAUCCUAACCACAUUGCGUAGGUAGAAUUCGUCUUACUUUUGUUGUUUCUUUAGGUACAUAAUCUAGCCUCUGAAAUCGUCGACUCAAAACUCGGGAAGCAGGUAUUCAAAGGCGUUUUUUUUUUCUGUUAGCUACUUUUUAUGGUUAAGUUGGUGAAACAUUAUACAAAACCAUACAGAUAACAGGACUCAAGCCGUCCCUAACUUUCAUAGCAGCAGAGGAAGUUAUGAGCCUUGUAACAGCACAAGGUUACAUUUCAUCAAUUCGAUUUUGUUUCUUGGUUAUCUAUCCACAAUCUGAACAAUAGUAAUACUCUUUAUAAUCAGUUGCUGAAAAUAGCGAACUGAACGAGGUAUGGAAGGACAUUCUAGACGCAGAUGGUGACGAGAUAUACGUAAAGGUUAAAAAAAGAAAAACACUCUUCCUUCAAAUAUUUUUGCCAGCGACUUUCACAAAUUUCAAAAUAAUUGCGGUCUGAGAAUCUCGAGUUUCCUUUGAAACACACAGGACAUUGAACUGUACAUGAAAGAGGGCGAGAACCCUUCAUUCACUGAGCUUUCAGAGCGAGCUUGGCUAAGGAGAGAAGUCGCCAUAGGCUACAUAAAGGGCGGUAAAAAGGUUUGUGUUUUAUUACUCUGCAACAUACAUUUAAAACCUCUUCCUCUUCACGAACAUCGGCAACCCAGAUUUGUUGUUGCAGAUAAUCAAUCCGGUUCCAAAGACAGAACCUCUCUCCCUCGAAAUGGAAGACUCAUUGAUUGUUAUAUCAGAGCUUGAAGGAGACCAACCCAUCGCACUAUGAAAAUAUAUACAAUCUCAUAUACCACAUAUGUUAUAGUUUAUUACAUACCAAGCGACUUUGGGCAAGGAGACUGACUCAUUGAUUGUUAUAUCAGAGCUUGAAGGAGACCAACCCAUCACACUAUGAAAAUAUAUACAAUCUCAUAUACCACAUAUGUUAUAGUUUCUCACACACCAAGCGACAUUGGGCAAGGAGACUGACUCACAAAUGCAAACAUUAAAUAAGUCGUUGAAUUUGUACAAAGAACCAAAAUUCUUUUACAUCGAAGCCCCUCUUUUGUUCAUUGGUCUUAAAUUUCAAUGAACGAUCUAAUUUCUAAUAACAAUCUUGUACAUGGAUCUAAACUAGCUCAAUCUAUGCUCUCCUUGACAAACUCUCUAGUUCGUUACUUAGGAGACAAAACAGAACAUGACAAAAACACAGCACCAAAUCUUAGAAUUCAUUUCACACUGUGAAGAGAGGAAAGUUUAAACUUUGAGAAAUGUUAACUGGAUAACAAGAGGUCAUUGAAACAAAAGCAGUACAUAUAAAUACAAAACCAAAUUAAGAACUGAGAGGAUGCAGUGCAGUUACACAAAGUGGUAGCAAAGCAAGCAGGGGAGAGAUAUAGAGACAAUUUGCCUAGAAACAUCUUUCAACAAAUCAAAGCAUGAAUAAAAAACACAAGAACAAAAAUUCUUCAGGCAAAUUUCUCUGCCUUUUUUUUUUUUGGCUUUUUCAUUUAUAUAUUUAUAUUAGGAAACAGUCUUGGAACUCUCUUGGUUCCUACACAAGGAAGCAAAUGCAUACAUAGAGUUAAAGGGAAAAAAAACCCGUGAAGGACUCUCUUGUGUUCCUUCUUUUCAGGAAGAAGAGACACGUUCUCUGUUAUUUACAGAAGCAAAUGAAAACAAAGAAACAAAGGAAACAAUUGGUACUCUAAUUCGAUUUCAUCACUUUAGCAAUUGACCACUUGUCAUCACCCUUCCACCCGUUAUUCCUCUGCAAGCUUGAGAAAAUUAGCGAUAUCUUCAGGUAGCUUUGGACAAUCACUGACAUAGAAUUUUCUAAGGUUAGGAAGAGUCCGAAAAUUCCAGCAGAUUUCCUUAAGUUCAUCCAAUUUAUAUAGCUCAAGGGAUUCCAGGUUCCCAAAGGGAAGAACAAUAUCUGGAUGCACUUUGGUAAUACUCAUUCCUUUCUCCUUAUUUAUUAUUUCUUCUAUUUCUCGUGAAAUGCCCACUCGUAGAUUCUUUAGAUUUUGAGCAAAUAACAGCCAUGACAAAUCCCUUUGCCCUUCCAAAUUGAAUAUAAAAACAGUGGAGAGUUGCUUGAAGCCUGGAUGAAUCUCCAUUGGUGAAAGCUCCCUUCUUUCUUUGCUUUCCCAAUCUAUCUUUAUCUCAAUUGAUAUGUUGCAACUCUCAAUUGCAAGGCGUUGAAGACCUCCCAGAGCUAUCGUGCUUAAUAUUACACGAGGUGCUGACAUUCCUUGUAGACAUAAACCUCGAAUACAACUCGCCAAUCGGUCAAUUCCUUGUAUCCUUUCCAAAAUCGUGGCAUCCUUUAUGUUUGCCGUUAAAAUCUUCAAGUGCUCCAAGUGCUGUAAUUCCUCCAUUAAUAUGUCAUCAACAUAAACUCGGGAAUAAAUUAAUUUCAACACUUGCAGAUUUGGUAAGGUUGUUGCUAUCCCAACAAGACUGAUCUCAAGUACACGAGUGUACUCCAGAUUCAAGUAGAUUAGUUUCCUCAACUUCUUCAGACCAACUGGUAGCGAUUUUAUCCUUGUGCGUGAUAAAUUGAGAUAUUGCAGGGAACCUAAGUUAGAAAUUUCUUCCGGCAAUCCAGUAAGCCCCCCGUUAGAAAGAUCCAAGACCACAAGUUUUGGCAUAAACCGAAAGAAUCCAACUGAAAUAUCCACCAACUGAAUGUUAUCUCGGAGUAAUAGGGUUGAAAGGUUGGGGCAGUUGGGACUGCAAGAUAUCUGCCAAAUGUGAGUACGAAUUAAAGACAUCUGUCUCACAAUCUCCCAAUUGAUGUCAUUUGGUAUCAUACGUACAUGAUCCCCAGAUUUCACACAAAUUGUUUCUUGCUGUUUUCCGAAGUCAGAAUUUAUCCACAGAGCCAUCUCACGUAUCACAUCAUGCAUUUUAACUUUGACACCACAAUCAAUCAACAAAUGUGCACGAACUAACAAGCCAAUUAUAUCAUAACCUUGGUUGGUACCUCCAUCUUCAUAUCUGUUCGGAUUUAUAAAUCCUUCGCAUAUCCAGUAUUCUAUCAACUCCUCCUUCUUUAUUUCAAAAUCUUCAGGAAACAAAGAACAAUAUAGGAAGCACGAUUUGAUUUCACCAUUCUUCAAGCUAUCAUAACUGAACUUCAAAACGCCAAGAAUUCUUUCUUUCAUACCUGGAAACUCGUGGCCAAGCGAAUUCAGAACAUUAAUCGCAUGACGCCAUUCUUGUAUAGACUCUUUACAUGCCAUGGCUUUGCCAAUGACAUUGAGUGCAAGUGGCAAGCCAUGACAUUUUGCAGCAACUAUUCUUGCAAGUGCGGGGAUAUCCUGAUGGCCUCCGAAUAUGACAUCUCCAACAGUAAUUCGAAACAUUGCCCACGCUUUAUUCUGGGGACAAACCAUUCAAUUUUAUCUGCUUGUUAUAUUUUAAGGGCUUGCACAAUUUCCUUCAAACGAAUGGUGAUACAAUACUGCGAGCCCCAUUCUCGAGUUGGAGGUGGACUCCUAUCUUGUUCAGAUNNNNNNNNNNNNNNNNNNNNNNNNNNNNNNNNNNNNNNNNNNNNNNNNNNNNNNNNNNNNNNNNNNNNNNNNNNNNNNNNNNNNNNNNNNNNNNNNNNNNGGUAUGAAGUUGAUACAGACGCAUUUCUUUCUGUAUUAGCCCUUCAACCUAUACAAAAGAUGGAAUCGAUCCCAACCAUUGUAGAGGUAAAUUAGGUAACUAUAUAUUGUGCAGUAAUGGUUCUGUUUAUAAUGCUUAUCUUUUACCUUUCUUGCUUCUGGAAAUGAAUGCAGGUAUCAAGCCCUAAUACGUAUGAUCUUCUCAAGUCUAUUUCGGGAUUGAAAGUGGAGCCGGUUGAAAAUGUUACGUCGAAAUUGUUUGUCCAAUGCUCACGUCAAAAAGACCUGAUAAAGAUCUACAGGCACCUACUAAAUUACUCAAGUACGGUGUGCUUUCAUCUUUCAUUACUGCUAUCUAUGUUAAGAAUUUUAUUUCAUGUUUGUAUUAUGUAUGUAUUCAAGACUAAUUAAUACCAAGUCUACUCGUUGCAG
RNAcentral lists this long non-coding RNA (5452 nucleotides) under Arabidopsis lyrata. RNAcentral describes it as "long non-coding RNA (ALYR_LNC000431)". The record is from RNAcentral. Lineage: Eukaryota; Viridiplantae; Streptophyta; Magnoliopsida; Brassicales; Brassicaceae.